GUGGGGAAUAUUGGACAAUGGGCGAAAGCCUGAUCCAGCCAUGCCGCGUGUGUGAAGAAGGUCUUAGGAUUGUAAAGCACUUUAAGUUGGGAGGAAGGGCAGUAAGUUAAUACCUUGCUGUUUUGACGUUACCGACAGAAUAAGCACCGGCUAACUUCGUGCCAGCAGCCGCGGUAAUACGAAGGGUGCAAGCGUUAAUCGGAAUUACUGGGCGUAAAGCGCGCGUAGGUGGUUUUGUAAGUUGUAGGUGAAAUCCCCGGGCUCAACCUGGGAACUGCCUCCAAAACUGCAUGACUAGAGUACGGUAGAGGGUAGUGGAAUUUCCUGUGUAGCGGUGAAAUGCGUAGAUAUAGGAAGGAACACCAGUGGCGAAGGCGACUACCUGGACUGAUACUGACACUGAGGUGCGAAAGCGUGGGGAGCAAACAGGAUUAGAUACCCUAGUAGUCC
RNAcentral lists this ribosomal RNA (450 nucleotides) under uncultured bacterium. Its description in RNAcentral is "partial 16S ribosomal RNA". It matches the Rfam family "Bacterial small subunit ribosomal RNA", at positions 354 to 796 of the family's 1533-position model. The record is from RNAcentral.